UCCCUUCUUCACCUAUUUAUAUGGGGCAUCCCAUGUGGAUCAGGUGCUGAAUUUUAGGUGAAAAUCAGAGUCAAGUGGCAUGUAAAAGAGAAGAAAAAUUUUAAAAAAAAUACUGAGAAAAAGAGAAAGAAAAAUUGAGAGGAAAAAUUGUAAGAAGGGUGAUGAGAGAAUUACUAAGUAUUGCUAGUUUGCCCUAGGAUUUGAUUUUUUCAUGUAUUGGAACCCAAAAUCAAAUCCUAGGUUGUGAGACUUCUAAAGAGUGUCUUCUUGGCAUGAUUCUAAUGAUAAAAUCGAAGGCAACUGGACUUUGGUGUGGUCAUACUUCGAGUUCGAAAUCAGUAGUAUUCUUGUAAAAAAAAGACUGCAGCGGCACACC
Molecule: long non-coding RNA, 376 nt
Filed under: Elaeis guineensis (African oil palm)
Lineage: Eukaryota; Viridiplantae; Streptophyta; Magnoliopsida; Arecales; Arecaceae
Description: long non-coding RNA (EGUI_LNC079134)
Source: RNAcentral